Molecule: ribosomal RNA, 472 nt
Filed under: Neisseria shayeganii
Lineage: Bacteria; Pseudomonadati; Pseudomonadota; Betaproteobacteria; Neisseriales; Neisseriaceae
Description: bacterial SSU rRNA
Rfam family: Bacterial small subunit ribosomal RNA
Source: RNAcentral
GAGUUUGAUCAUGGCUCAGAUUGAACGCUGGCGGCAUGCUUUACACAUGCAAGUCGGACGGCAGCACAAAGAAGCUUGCUUCUUGGGUGGCGAGUGGCGAACGGGUGAGUAAUGCAUCGGAACGUACCGAGUAGUGGGGGAUAACUGUCCGAAAGGAUGGCUAAUACCGCAUACGCUUUGAGAAGGAAAGCGGGGGAUCUUCGGACCUCGCGCUAUUCGAGCGGCCGAUGUCUGAUUAGCUGGUUGGUGGGGUAAAGGCCUACCAAGGCGACGAUCAGUAGCGGGUCUGAGAGGAUGAUCCGCCACACUGGGACUGAGACACGGCCCAGACUCCUACGGGAGGCAGCAGUGGGGAAUUUUGGACAAUGGGCGCAAGCCUGAUCCAGCCAUGCCGCGUGUCUGAAGAAGGCCUUCGGGUUGUAAAGGACUUUUGUCAGGGAAGAAAAGCUUGAGGCUAAUACCCUUGAGUGAU